This 493-nucleotide ribosomal RNA is filed under the name uncultured bacterium. RNAcentral describes it as "partial 16S ribosomal RNA". It matches the Rfam family "Bacterial small subunit ribosomal RNA", at positions 28 to 507 of the family's 1533-position model. The record is from RNAcentral.
GACGAACGCUGGCGGCGUGCUUAACACAUGCAAGUCGACGACGCUACUGAGUAGCAAUAUUUAGUAGUGGAGUGGCGCAAGGGUGAGUAAUGUAUACGUAACCAACCCAUCGGAGACGGAUAACAUUUCGAAAGGGAUGCUAAAACGGCAUGAAGCCACGAUUUCGCAUGAGAUUGUGGUUAAAGAACCGGUAACAGGUUGCCGAUGGCUGGGCGUAUAUCCGAUUAGCUAGUUGGUAGUGUAAUGGACUACCAAGGCGACGAUCGGUAGCUGGUCUGAGAGGAUGAUCAGCCACACUGGCACUGAGGCACGGGCCAGACUCCUACGGGAGGCAGCAGUGGGGAAUAUUGGGCAAUGCUCGCAAGGGUGACCCAGCAACGCCGCGUGGAGGAUGAAGGCCGUAAGGUUGUAAACUCUGACAAGCAGGGAAGAACGGCUAUGGUAAAAGGCCAUAGAAUGACGGUACCUGCCUGAAGCCCCGGCUAACUACGUG